UACCCCAAAGUGCCCUGCAUUUGCUCUUUGAACAAAGUUCUGUUUGUUGAUGGACUGACCGGCUUACUGACGUAAAGAUGGGGAGCAAACAGAGGGACAGAUCAAGGCCCUUCUUUCGCGCUUGGAGGAAGCUGGGGCGAGUGCUCUGGACGCCAGCUCCUGCUCGGGAGCGAGUCUGGAAACCGCGGCAGCGUCUUCGCGGCAGGCUCCGGAUCCGGGAGGUUCUGGAUCCGCCCUCCAUCUAUUGGAUGGCUCCCAGGUCAAUUGUUAGAAAGAGGCAUAUGUUCAUCUCGGCUUCUGGAGUGUCUCCGGAGCAGUUGCUCAACAGCCAGCCCCCUCCCCCAUCCGGACCAUUGAAGGGCAGAAAAAGGAGCGCCCUCCGCCACGUUUCUCUACGCCUACAUGCCAGAAAGGGUCUCCCCACUGGUGACUUCCUGUCAUCUCUGCUGUCUACCUCCUGGGGAGCAGGAUAGAGAAGAGUUUCGAGCACUCAGCUUUGGAGCACAAAAGCCACCCCUUUCCUUUGGGGGUAGCUGGAAGGGGAGGUUAGUUGCAGAGGCCGGGAGAGAGCAAAGGAGACAUUUGCAUUUCUCUGCAAAUAUGCCCUGGAUCACUGACUUCCCAGUCGUCUCCAGCCGAGCUCAGAGCUCUCCGCUGAACUCUUAUCUUCAACUUGGCAACUAGACUGCGAGCUCGCAUGCGGAGGAGAGGACAGGGAUAAUCACCCAGCAAGAACUUUCUGUGCGCCAGCAUUGGACCUGGCCUGUUCCCAUCCAUUAUCUCAUUUAAUUCCCACGCCCUGUGAGGUAGGGUUUACCAAAGGUGAGAAGGAGUCUCAGAGAUUUGCCCAAGUUCACACAGCCAGGAGGCCAGGCAUUUGAAUCCAGGUUAAGCUAACUGCAGAAUCCUCACCUUCACCCUUGCGCCUUGCUGUUUGGCAAGGUAAAGGGACAUCUAAAAUGUGGUCAAGAGUACAGGUUCAGGGGCCAGUCCACCUGGGUUUAAAUCCCUGCUCUGCUAUUUACUAACUCUGUAAUGAAGACCAAUAGCUUCAUUCUUUUUUUUUAAAAUUUUUUCCAUUUAUUUUUAUUAGUUGGAGGCUAAUUACUUUACAAGCUUCAUUCUUCAGGCCUCAGUUUUCCUCAUCUGUUAAAUGGGGAUUAUAAUGGUAGCAACUAUGACGGCUCAGAGAAGGCAGUGGCACCCCACUCCAGUACUCUUGCCUGGAAAAUCCCAUGGACGGAGGAGCCUGGUAGGCUGCAGUCCAUGGGCUCGCUAAGAGUCAGACACGACUGAGCAACUUCAUUUUCACUUUUCACUUUCAUGCAUUGGAAAAGGAAAUGGCAACCCACUCCAGUGUUCUUGCCUGGAGAAUCCCAGGGACAGGGGAGCCUGGUGGGCUGCCGUCUAUGGGGUCGCACAGUCGGACACGACUGAAGUGACUUAGCAGCAGCAGCAGUAUGAGGGCUGUUGCAAGGAUCAACGGAAAAGCUUAAGUUGAUGCCUGCUAUGUAGUAAGUUGUCCACAAAUGCUGUACCUUCUGAUUCUUUUCCUUUUGCCUCCUUGUCCUGCCACAUCUUACAUACUUCAGGUCUCCUAGUCCUGCCUCAGUUUACAUACUUCAGGUCCAAUAAUACUUGAUGACUGAUUAAUUUAAAAACCAGGCUGUGAGGGGAUGAAGGAGGUCUAUAAACACAGGCAGGGAAGAAGAGGAAAAUGCAGAUUUGUCUUCAGAAUCCCAUUUUCCAGAACCAAGGGCUAUCUGAGCCUUAUGACAGGAGUAAAUUGAGGACCAAUAAAAGAUGAUGACUUUUUACAGGACAGUCGGUAUGCAUAGAGUGGUCUCUAGAAACAUAUAUUCAAUAAGUGUGUAGAAAAGUUAAAAAGCACAUGUUACCAUGUAGCUUGCAGGAUCUCAGUUCCUCGACCAAGGAUGGAACCCGGGCCACAGCAGUGAAAGGCUGGACUCCUAACCACUAGGCAACCAGGGGACUCCCCAGAAAGCAAAAGUCUGUGUUCAAGAAUGUUUUGAGCAGAAUUGUUUGUGAUAAUGAAAAAUGGAAAGCAAUUUAAAUGUCCAUGGUGAGAAAGCAUCCUUCAGUACCUUAACACUAAAAAAAAAAUCCUGAUUUCAAAAACUUUUAUUCAUGGGAAAAUGUUCACAAAAAUAUUAAAUAAAAAAACACUGGGUACAAAGUUGCAUAAAUAUGAUGCCAAGUUGCAAAGGGCAUGAAGAGCAGAAAAUUAAAUAUUCACUAUGUUUCCAACCAUGUAUAAAUAUGGGCAAUGAAGCAAUGGUCAGGAAAACAACCAACAGUGUCAGUGGGGUGGUAGGAUUCUGAGCUAUUUUCCCCCCUCUUUUCUCUGUUCUGCAAUAUGUUUAUAUUAUUCUUAUAAUUAAAUAUAAGUUUAUAGUUAAUGGACUGCAUAAACAGUGUGCUUCUACUAUUGUUAAAAUUAUUUGUGCAUAGAAAAAAUAUUAGAAGAAAAUAUACCAAAAUGAGGACUUCCCUGGAGGUCCAGUGGUUAAGAUUCUGUGCUUCCAAUGCAGGGGACAUGGGUUUGAUCCCUGUCUGGGGACUAAAAUCCCAUGCACUGCAGGGCAAGGCCCCCCAAAAAGUAUCUAAAGGGAGAAAAAACUAGAAACAAAAACAAAAUACCAAAUUGUUAGCAGUGAUUAUAAUUGAAUGGUAGGAUUAUGCAUGAUAUUUUUAAAAUUUUUUUCUGCCAUAAGAUUAUAUUAUUUUCUCCCAUAACUUGAAAAUCUUCAUAAUUUUAAAAGUGCAUAAUCAGUACAAUCUCACUGGUGUUAAAAGUAUGGCUGUAAAUUGAAAAAAAUGGGAAGGAAAUAUAUUAAAAUAUUAAGUUUUUAUAUUAAGUGGUAAAGGAUUAUGGGUAAUUUCUCCUUUUUUCUUGAGUUUUCUGUAAUGUGAUUUUAUUGCUUUUAUAAUUAAAAUAAAAUAAAUAUGUACAAAUGGCAUAGGAUCCGAUUUUUGUUAAAAAUGUAUAUAUAUAUGUGUGUGUAUGUGCAGGUGCAUUAAGUAAUAAUAAAAUACUCCAAAAUGUGGUUGUCUCUGGGUGAUGGGAUUAUGGGUGAUUUAUGUUUUCUCUCUCUUUCUUUGAAAACUAUACUAUACUGAAGUAUAGUUAAUUUACAGUGUGUUGGUUUCAGGCACACUGUUUUCUCUUUUAUACAUGA
Molecule: transfer RNA, 3200 nt
Filed under: Cervus hanglu yarkandensis (Yarkand deer)
Lineage: Eukaryota; Metazoa; Chordata; Mammalia; Artiodactyla; Cervidae
Description: lncRNA (ENSCHYG00000021867.1)
Rfam family: tRNA (bases 2510-2582)
Source: RNAcentral